RNAcentral lists this ribosomal RNA (2893 nucleotides) under Pseudomonas syringae pv. actinidiae. RNAcentral's name for it is "23S ribosomal RNA". It matches the Rfam family "Bacterial large subunit ribosomal RNA". The record is from RNAcentral. Lineage: Bacteria; Pseudomonadati; Pseudomonadota; Gammaproteobacteria; Pseudomonadales; Pseudomonadaceae.
GGUCAAGUGAAGAAGCGCAUACGGUGGAUGCCUUGGCAGUCAGAGGCGAUGAAAGACGUGGUAGCCUGCGAAAAGCUUCGGGGAGUCGGCAAACAGACUGUGAUCCGGAGAUGUCUGAAUGGGGGAACCCAGCCAUCACAAGAUGGUUAUCUUACACUGAAUACAUAGGUGUAAGAGGCGAACCAGGGGAACUGAAACAUCUAAGUACCCUGAGGAAAAGAAAUCAACCGAGAUUCCCUUAGUAGUGGCGAGCGAACGGGGACCAGCCCUUAAGUUGUAUUGAGAUUAGCGGAACGCUCUGGAAAGUGCGGCCAUAGUGGGUGAUAGCCCUGUACGCGAAAAUCCCUUUGCAAUGAAAUCGAGUAGGACGGGGCACGAGAAACCUUGUCUGAAUAUGGGGGGACCAUCCUCCAAGGCUAAAUACUACUGACUGACCGAUAGUGAACCAGUACCGUGAGGGAAAGGCGAAAAGAACCGCGGAGAGCGGAGUGAAAUAGAUCCUGAAACCGUAUGCGUACAAGCAGUGGGAGCCCACUUUGUUGGGUGACUGCGUACCUUUUGUAUAAUGGGUCAGCGACUUAUUUUCAGUGGCGAGCUUAACCGAAUAGGGGAGGCGUAGCGAAAGCGAGUCUUAAUAGGGCGUCUAGUCGCUGGGAAUAGACCCGAAACCGGGCGAUCUAUCCAUGGGCAGGUUGAAGGUUGGGUAACACUAACUGGAGGACCGAACCGACUACCGUUGAAAAGUUAGCGGAUGACCUGUGGAUCGGAGUGAAAGGCUAAUCAAGCUCGGAGAUAGCUGGUUCUCCUCGAAAGCUAUUUAGGUAGCGCCUCAUGUAUCACUGUAGGGGGUAGAGCACUGUUUCGGCUAGGGGGUCAUCCCGACUUACCAAACCGAUGCAAACUCCGAAUACCUACAAGUGCCGAGCAUGGGAGACACACGGCGGGUGCUAACGUCCGUCGUGAAAAGGGAAACAACCCAGACCGUCAGCUAAGGUCCCAAAGUCAUGGUUAAGUGGGAAACGAUGUGGGAAGGCUUAGACAGCUAGGAGGUUGGCUUAGAAGCAGCCACCCUUUAAAGAAAGCGUAAUAGCUCACUAGUCGAGUCGGCCUGCGCGGAAGAUGUAACGGGGCUCAAACCAUGCACCGAAGCUACGGGUAUCACCUUUGGUGAUGCGGUAGAGGAGCGUUCUGUAAGCCUGUGAAGGUGAGUUGAGAAGCUUGCUGGAGGUAUCAGAAGUGCGAAUGCUGACAUGAGUAACGACAAUGGGUGUGAAAAACACCCACGCCGAAAGACCAAGGUUUCCUGCGCAACGUUAAUCGACGCAGGGUUAGUCGGUCCCUAAGGCGAGGCUGAAAAGCGUAGUCGAUGGAAAACAGGUUAAUAUUCCUGUACUUCUGGUUAUUGCGAUGGAGGGACGGAGAAGGCUAGGCCAGCCUGGCGUUGGUAGUCCAGGUUUAAGGUGGUAGGCUGAGAUCUUAGGUAAAUCCGGGAUCUUAAGGCCGAGAGCUGAUGACGAGUGUUCUUUUAGAACAUGAAGUGGUUGAUGCCAUGCUUCCAAGAAAAGCUUCUAAGCUUCAGGUAACCAGGAACCGUACCCCAAACCGACACAGGUGGUUGGGUAGAGAAUACCAAGGCGCUUGAGAGAACUCGGGUGAAGGAACUAGGCAAAAUGGCACCGUAACUUCGGGAGAAGGUGCGCCGGUGAGGGUGAAGCAUUUACUGCGUAAGCCCACGCCGGUCGAAGAUACCAGGCCGCUGCGACUGUUUAUUAAAAACACAGCACUCUGCAAACACGAAAGUGGACGUAUAGGGUGUGACGCCUGCCCGGUGCCGGAAGGUUAAUUGAUGGGGUUAGCGCAAGCGAAGCUCUUGAUCGAAGCCCCGGUAAACGGCGGCCGUAACUAUAACGCUCCUAAGGUAGCGAAAUUCCUUGUCGGGUAAGUUCCGACCUGCACGAAUGGCGUAACGAUGGCGGCGCUGUCUCCACCCGAGACUCAGUGAAAUUGAAAUCGCUGUGAAGAUGCAGUGUAUCCGCGGCUAGACGGAAAGACCCCGUGAACCUUUACUAUAGCUUUGCACUGGACUUUGAAUUUGCUUGUGUAGGAUAGGUGGGAGGCUUUGAAGCGUGGACGCCAGUCUGCGUGGAGCCAACCUUGAAAUACCACCCUGGCAACUUUGAGGUUCUAACUCAGGUCCGUUAUCCGGAUCGAGGACAGUGUAUGGUGGGUAGUUUGACUGGGGCGGUCUCCUCCUAAAGAGUAACGGAGGAGUACGAAGGUGCGCUCAGACCGGUCGGAAAUCGGUCGUAGAGUAUAAAGGCAAAAGCGCGCUUGACUGCGAGACAGACACGUCGAGCAGGUACGAAAGUAGGUCUUAGUGAUCCGGUGGUUCUGUAUGGAAGGGCCAUCGCUCAACGGAUAAAAGGUACUCCGGGGAUAACAGGCUGAUACCGCCCAAGAGUUCAUAUCGACGGCGGUGUUUGGCACCUCGAUGUCGGCUCAUCACAUCCUGGGGCUGAAGCCGGUCCCAAGGGUAUGGCUGUUCGCCAUUUAAAGUGGUACGCGAGCUGGGUUUAGAACGUCGUGAGACAGUUCGGUCCCUAUCUGCCGUGGACGUUUGAGAUUUGAGAGGGGCUGCUCCUAGUACGAGAGGACCGGAGUGGACGAACCUCUGGUGUUCCGGUUGUCACGCCAGUGGCAUUGCCGGGUAGCUAUGUUCGGAAAAGAUAACCGCUGAAAGCAUCUAAGCGGGAAACUUGCCUCAAGAUGAGAUCUCACUGGAACCUAGAGUUCCCUGAAGGGCCGUCGAAGACUACGACGUUGAUAGGUUGGGUGUGUAAGCGCUGUGAGGCGUUGAGCUAACCAAUACUAAUUGCCCGUGAGGCUUGACCAU